CUGUCUAUACAAUAUGGGGAAAUCCUUUCUACAAUAAAUGAGCUUUUUGUUUUUCUGAAGAACCGAGAAAUCCCCGUGAAUCAAUGGCGCAAGGUUAGAAAGCUGGAGGACAAUUGACAUGCCAGGCUUUUGUCUGUGCUAGGUUCAAACCCGUGACGUACGCCUAACCCACACAUCACAAGCUACACUCUUACCACUAUACCAAAGGCCUGGACUGAAGCACUGGCUAAGCAAAGCUUGUUUUGCACCUUGCUUCAAGGUUUAAGCGUUUCAAACGACACAGAGCCAGAGUUGUAAAAGAACCGAGAAAUCCCCGUGAAUCAAUGGCGCAAGGUUAGAAAGCUGGAGGACAAUUGACAUGCCAGGCUUUUGUCUGUGCUAGGUUCAAACCCGUGACGUACGCCUAACCCACACAUCACAAGCUACACUCUUACCACUAUACCAAAGGCCUGGACUGAAGCACUGGCUAAGCGAAGCUUGUUUUGCACCUUGCUUCAAGGUUUAAGCGUUUCAAACGACACAGCCAGAGUUGUACCCAUUCUGGCGCCUGACACAAUUUCUGACAUCCUCUUUUCCCGCACUUCACUUGAAUGGCUUGCCUGAAUACAAUGAUCCAUCCUAACUAUAAUCCACCCUUUGGCUCUAUUCUAGAAAAUUGAGACUAUACCAGUCAACUCCUUUGACGAUGUCAAUCCUUCCAUGUCACAUCUCACUUUUCGAUUUAGUUUGUUUCUGCUUUCUUUUCUUCAGUUUUGAUUUGAUCUAUUUCUCUCCAAGUUCUUUGAAGCAAUUCUCUCCAACUUGGUUAAACCAGUUUCUGUGCAGUACUAUCUGGCUUGCGUGAAGCUAUUCCCUUCAAUGCAACACGUCAAUGGGGAAUGCCCUUCUUCAAAAGAAAAUCUUCAAUGCAACAUAUAGUUCAGCAUUGGUGCUCCAUUAGUUGGUUCUAACCCAUUUUCAGAAGUGGAGACUAUCUAAGUGUGUAAACAAGUCUUAAUAUGGUACAAGACCAGGCAUGGUUUCUGAUUUCAAGUUUCAGACCACCUUAAAGAAGAAAUUACCACAUGCUUGGACCAUGAAAUACAUCAGGAUUCAAGCCCGCAAAUGCAUGAGUGUAUUAAAGACAAAAUUGAGUAAAUAAAUAUUCUCAUCUCUAAAAGCUUUAAUCUUUUAGAUAAAGUGGUUAGAGAAUUCAAUGUUCUGUAUUAAUGUAUAAGGCUUUACAAAUUUUAUUGACAUCAUCAAACUUCUUAAGCCUCCUAUAUAUAUGUAGCAAAUAGCAUCCAUCUCUUCUAAGAAGCUCAGCUACUAU
RNAcentral lists this long non-coding RNA (1312 nucleotides) under Nicotiana benthamiana. RNAcentral describes it as "long non-coding RNA (NBEN_LNC008346)". The record is from RNAcentral. Lineage: Eukaryota; Viridiplantae; Streptophyta; Magnoliopsida; Solanales; Solanaceae.